Molecule: long non-coding RNA, 1077 nt
Organism: Canis lupus familiaris (dog)
Lineage: Eukaryota; Metazoa; Chordata; Mammalia; Carnivora; Canidae
Exons: 4
Source: RefSeq, a predicted model, not a curated record
GAAACGGCUCCCUGAGAGGUAUCUCCAGCCUGGAGGGAUGAUAUGGGAGGAGGUGACUUAGGGUCAUAACAGAGCACAUACAUAGGACUGGGCCUAAGGCCUUCUGGAAGUUGUUUUACUUUCAUUCACGGAGAAUUCGGAGCCCUGCAUCACCUGCUUGGCAAGAGGGUCAAAGACGCAGCACACAGCAUAAGCCCAGAGAAACCUUGAGUUUGAGAAGAGACUGAAGGUCAACGGUAAUGUGAGGAACCCUAAGAUGUGACUGCUUUGGGGAAAAUUCACACUCCGUUAACUGAGCCUCUACAAUAGGUACCUCCCAGACCCUGGAUGGCUAAGAACAACCUGAAAGCCACACGCCCGGGAGCCCCGGGUCCAUUCUUAGAACAAGUAAGCACCAGAACGAUGUUCAGUGGGAUACCUAACAGAAGGGCACGAAGAACCACUUGUGAGAACUGAGACUGCAUUUGCUGACCAGACACUUCUGAAAGCCCUGUUCACUAGGUGACCCAGUGCCCCAAGUGGAGACCCACGUGAGAAAUUUCUUCUAGUGCUAAAUGGCAUGAAUUGCUUUGCUUUCUCAGAUCAACUGUUGUGUUUUCUCUUCUUCAAUAAUAAGAACCAAGAAAUUAUCUGCCUCCAUUGUUUAUUUGGCUAUUCCCCACCCAUCUUCUUAUCCAAAAAGUAUUUAAAGCAGUAGGUUUGCUAUGUAACCAGCCAAGUCUCCCCUCUCACUUUGCACACCGGAAAAUUCAAAGCCAUCUGUGUAUUACUUAGGAUCUAUAGAUCUGCUUUAAAAAAAAAAAACAACCAAAAAUUUCCCAUACUAAUUUAUGUUUUUUUGAUUUUUAAUUUAUGUUGAUUUAUUUAACAAGUACUUAUCAAGUACCUACACUUUAAAACAAUAUCCACAGCAAAUUGGUCUGCAUGAGUACUAUUACUCUAUCUCUAUGAGAAUUAUUAAAAAUUUGAUGAAAAUUAAUUUUGAUAAAAAUUGUGUAUAUUUAUUUUUAUUUUCCUCUAACCUUGGGUUAUGAACAUUUUCAAACAUUUGAAAAAGUUCAACGAAUGAUACAAUAA